RNAcentral lists this transfer RNA (69 nucleotides) under Montfortula punctata. RNAcentral describes it as "tRNA-Asn". It matches the Rfam family "tRNA". From Rfam's summary of the family: Transfer RNA (tRNA) molecules are approximately 80 nucleotides in length. Their secondary structure includes four short double-helical elements and three loops (D, anti-codon, and T loops). Lineage: Eukaryota; Metazoa; Mollusca; Gastropoda; Lepetellida; Fissurellidae. The record is from RNAcentral.
UAAAUAGAAGCCAAAAACUGAGGCAUUUGUUUGUUAAUCAAAUCACUGUGAUUAAAAUCACCUAUUUAG